This 432-nucleotide ribosomal RNA is filed under the name Loma branchialis. RNAcentral describes it as "SSU rRNA". It matches the Rfam family "Microsporidia small subunit ribosomal RNA", at positions 879 to 1304 of the family's 1311-position model. Lineage: Eukaryota; Fungi; Microsporidia; Glugeidae. The record is from RNAcentral.
ACACACGAUAGGUCGAAGAGUGGUGCAUGGCCGUUAACGACGAGUGGAGUGAUCUUUGGGGUAAGUCCGUAAAUUAGUGAGACCUCAGCCGUAAGGGACAGGUGCGCAAAGCACAGGAAGGAUGGGUCAAGGACAGGUCAGUGAUGCCCUUAGAUGGUCCGGGCUGCACGCGCACUACAGUGGUCGCCGAAAUUACCUGAUAAUUUUAAAGGCGAUCGAGAGGGAAUGAGCUUUGUAAGAGGCUCAGGAACGAGGAAUUGCUAGUAAUCGCGGACUCAUUAAGACGCGAUGAAUACGUCCCUGUUCUUUGUACACACCGCCCGUCGUUAUCGAAGAUGAAGACAGGCGCGAACGAUCUACCAGAAAGUGAGCGCAGGUCUUUAGAUCUGAUACAAGUCGUAACAAGGUAGCUGUAGGAGAUCCUGUAGCUGG